AUGACCGGCUCCUGGCGAAUCCCUCUCCGACUCUCGGCAAACGUCUCGCCCCGUUUGGCGCUAAAUGUCGCUUGCCCUCCCAGCCACCGGGAGCCAGGCAAACCCACAAAGGGAUUUUGUUCCUUGUGGGGCUUGUUCCAAGCUUCUCCCAGGGCACGCCGUUAAUCCCGGAAAGCCUGACUGACCCCAGGAAACCCGGCUGCCCCCCGCAGCGGCUGCCUGCAGACAUGUCCCCAGUCUGUGGGACACCCACGCGUGUGACAGCGUCAAAGACACAGGGAGGUGUCCAAGGCCAGGCUGGGAAGCGGUGGCAGAGGAGGGAGCUGGAUGCAGGCAGUGUCCAGGCACUGGGUUUCCCUCUCCAUGCCCCUGGGGAAGGUCCCGGACACCUGCAAGCCUGUGGAAAGUCAUCUCGAAGCUGGUUUGCUGGCAGUGAUCAGUCCAUGCCCACCUCGGGACUGACCUGGGGAUGCUUUUGCCGGUGCCUGCUGCCACCUUCUGCCCCAAGGUCUCCAUCCCCAGGAGGUUCCCCGUCCCCCUCCCCAGCAGUGACUGCUGCUGCUCUGAGCCUCUCCAGCACUCACGUUUCACCAGCCAUAAAAGUGUCUGGAGGAGGAAAGGGAGCGGCGGCGUGUCGGGCCAGGGGAGGGAGCAGUGUCUGUCCCUGCUGCCACCCCAGACCUUGUCCCACCACCCUGGGCAGGCGGCUGCUGGUCCCCCUGCAGUGGCCCGUCCCCUGCCUCACCCUCCCCCUGCCCUGCGUGGCUGGAGAAUGGCCCAAAAUGGAUCAAAGAGCCACCGAGAGAAAGCGAGCUGGCAGCAAUUCCCCAGCCCGUGAGCAGGAGGUGGGGUGUCCGUCACACAGGGCUGCCAGACGAGGCACAGGGACCACGGAGCGUUUUGUGGGGACCCAGAAGGGUGGGGGCACAGCAGCCGUGGGGGGAUCAGAGCCGAGCUCUCCCCUCUCUGCUCCAGCUCAGGCUCAGCCAGCCCUAAGACUCCUGCAGCCCCGUUUCAAGGCUCAGCACAGCGUUUGCUCAUCAACCCACGCUGUGGGCCCCCCUCCUUCUGCCCAGACCCCAAAGAUGGCCAUAACCAUGACGGCUUUGGCCGGGGGUGGGAGCAGACCACGCUGAGCCCUGCAUCCCCAGGAAGGAUGCUCAUCACCACGUUCCCUCUUUUCUUUUCCUCCUGCAUCCCAAACGCCCCAAGCCACCGGUGACCCCGGUGCUGCCACACAGGAGCGUUGCCGGGGGCUUUGAUGCCCAGUGGGUCCGGUGUCCCCUGCGGCAGCCCCCUGGGC
Molecule: long non-coding RNA, 1303 nt
Filed under: Calidris pygmaea (Spoon-billed sandpiper)
Lineage: Eukaryota; Metazoa; Chordata; Aves; Charadriiformes; Scolopacidae
Description: lncRNA (ENSCPGG00000004523.1)
Source: RNAcentral